GAUGAACGCUAGCUACAGGCUUAACACAUGCAAGUCGAGGGGUAACGAGAGGAAAGCUUGCUUUCCUUGUCGACGACCGGCGCACGGGUGAGUAACGCGUAUCCAACCUGCCCCCAACUAGGGAAUAACCUUGCGAAAGUAAGACUAAUACCCUAUAAUUUCCUCAGAUGUCAUCUGACGAGGAAUAAAGAUUUAUCGGUUGUGGAUGGGGAUGCGUCUGAUUAGCUUGUUGGCGGGGUAACGGCCCACCAAGGCAACGAUCAGUAGGGGUUGUGAGAGGAAGGUCCCCCACAUUGGAACGGAGACACGGUCCAAACUACUACGGGAGGCAGCAGUGAGGAAUAUUGGUCAAUGGGCGGAAGCAUGAACCAGCCAAGUAGCGUGCAGGAUGACGGCCCUAUGGGUUGUAAACUGCUUUUAUACAGGAAUAAAGUUAGCCACGUGUGGUUAUUUGUAGGUACUGUAUGAAUAAGGACCGGCUAAUUCCGUGCCAGCCGCCGCCGUAA
RNAcentral lists this ribosomal RNA (506 nucleotides) under uncultured bacterium. RNAcentral's name for it is "partial 16S ribosomal RNA". It matches the Rfam family "Bacterial small subunit ribosomal RNA", at positions 28 to 523 of the family's 1533-position model. The record is from RNAcentral.